GAAACUAACAAGGAUUCCCCUAGUAACGGCGAGUGAAGAGGGAAGAGCCCAAGAUUGAAAGCUGGCGUCUUCGGCGUCCGCAUUGUAAUCUCAAGAAGUGUUUUCCGCUUCGGACCAAGCCUAAGUCCCCUGGAAAGGGGCAUCAUAGAGGGUGAUAAUCCCGUACAUGGCUUGGAGCGCCCGUAGCUUUGUGAUACACUUUCUAAGAGUCGAGUUGUUUGGGAAUGCAGCUCAAAAUGGGUGGUAAAUGCCAUCUAAGGCUAAAUAUUGGGGAGAGACCGAUAGCGAACAAGUACAGUGAUGGAAAGAUGAAAAGAACUUUGAAAAGAGAGUUAAACAGUACGUGAAAUUGCCAAAAGGGAAGGGUAGGAGGUCAGAGAUGCGGCCUAGGAUUCAGCCUUGCUUUUGCUUGGUGUUUUUCCUAGAUUGCAGGCCAACGUCGGUUUUGGGCACUGGAGAAGGGUGGAAGGAACGUGGCACCUCUCGGGGUGUGUUAUAGCCUUCUACUGGAUACAGCGACCGAGACCGAGGACAGCAGCGUACUCGCAAGAGCGGGCCUUCGGGCACCUUUACGCUUAGGGCGUUGGCAUAAUGGCCCUCU
Molecule: ribosomal RNA, 601 nt
Filed under: Macalpinomyces spermophorus
Lineage: Eukaryota; Fungi; Basidiomycota; Ustilaginomycetes; Ustilaginales; Ustilaginaceae
Description: partial 26S ribosomal RNA
Rfam family: Eukaryotic large subunit ribosomal RNA
Source: RNAcentral